AACGAACGCUGGCGGCAUGCCUAAUACAUGCAAGUCGAACGAGAUCUUCGGAUCUAGUGGCGCACGGGUGCGUAACGCGUGGGAAUCUCCCCUUGGGUUCGGAAUAACUUCUGGAAACGGAAGCUAAUACCGGAUGAUGACGUAAGUCCAAAGAUUUAUCGCCCAAGGAUGAGCCCGCGUAGGAUUAGGUAGUUGGUGAGGUAAAGGCUCACCAAGCCGACGAUCCUUAGCUGGUCUGAGAGGAUGAUCAGCCACACUGGGACUGAGACACGGCCCAGACUCCUACGGGAGGCAGCAGUAGGGAAUAUUGGACAAUGGGCGAAAGCCUGAUCCAGCAAUGCCGCGUGAGUGAUGAAGGCCUUAGGGUUGUAAAGCUCUUUUACCCGGGAUGAUAAUGACAGUACCGGGAGAAUAAGCUCCGGCUAACUCCGUG
This 433-nucleotide ribosomal RNA is filed under the name uncultured bacterium. RNAcentral's name for it is "partial 16S ribosomal RNA". It matches the Rfam family "Bacterial small subunit ribosomal RNA", at positions 29 to 507 of the family's 1533-position model. The record is from RNAcentral.